RNAcentral lists this long non-coding RNA (1112 nucleotides) under Equus asinus (donkey). Its description in RNAcentral is "lncRNA (ENSEASG00005036679.1)". The record is from RNAcentral. Lineage: Eukaryota; Metazoa; Chordata; Mammalia; Perissodactyla; Equidae.
CUGAAACCCAUGUACACACCCCUUCCGUGACCCCAGAGUGCCAUGUGCUCUGAAAAGCUCACUGGCUUCUGGAAGAGAGGAUAAUGGAUAUUGGGGGCAACUAGCAAUCUCUGCCACUGGAACACAAUCUCCCCUCCCCCCCAGGACUAUGGUGAACCAAGGUCAAGGCAAUGGCAGACUGCAAGGGGAGGAGAGAGGUGAUCUGGCAAGUAGUCUGAGGAGGCUGCCUGGGGGAGGCAACAUCUGGGCCAAGCCUUGAAGGACAACUAGAGUUUGGGAAGCCGAGAUGGAAAAGAGUUCCAGAAAAGGUGGUGGACUAGCCAAUGGAGCAAGUGUGGAGAAAUUAUGGUUCAGUGUGAAGAGCCUGGCUUUGCAGCCAGAAGACCCAGGUCCAAGUCCUGACACAGUCGGCGGAGCAAGGCGCCCGCUUCCCCAAGCCUCGGCUGACCCCUCGUUGAAAGGCUGAUGGCCACAGCUCCUCGAAGGCCUGCGGGGGGCAGCGGCCGUGGAAGGGCCUGGCAUUCGAUGGGGUUGUGGCGGAUGUUCCCAUGGCUGGAGCGCGGGGUCAGGGUUGGGCAGGGGCAGGAGGCGGAGGCCCCACCUGGCGGCCUCGAAGGCCAGGCCAAGCGGUUUGGAUGUGGCUCAGAAGCUGUGGGCAGCUGCUUGGCAGGGCAGCAUCCUGAGAGGAGAGUGGCUUUUCAAACACGACUCUGGAAGAUGGAGAGGAGGAGGUCCUCCGUGAGCCCAGAGGUUGCAAGCAGACCCGGAACGAGCACGGCUUCAAUGAGCCCGUGCAUUGGAGCCACUUUCUUUCAGCGCCUCUGCCAUCCCUGUAAGAUCAGGCAGGGCGAGCCUGCAAGGGAGGAGGGACACAGGAGCAGAGCGGAGCUGCCAUCCCAGCCAGGGCCGUCCCAGGUCAGCUGACACCAGCCUACCCCUGGCAUGCCAGGGAGCCCACCACGAUCAGCAGGGCCCUGGACGCAGACCCGCUGAACCCCACGGCCCGUGAGAAACAGCGCCUCAUGUUGUGUGAUUAUUCGCCACCCAGCGUUACUGUGGCAAUAGUGGCCAAGAGAGUCCCUAACUCACCGGGUGACAGUGCCGGCUCUGAG